Molecule: ribosomal RNA, 565 nt
Filed under: uncultured bacterium
Lineage: Bacteria
Description: bacterial SSU rRNA
Rfam family: Bacterial small subunit ribosomal RNA
Source: RNAcentral
AUUGAACGCUGGCGGAAUGCUUUACACAUGCAAGUCGAACGGCAGCACGGGAGCUUGCUCCUGGUGGCGAGUGGCGAACGGGUGAGUAAUAUAUCGGAACGUAUCCAAUAAUGGGGGAUAACUAGUCGAAAGAUUAGCUAAUACCGCAUACGCCCUGAGGGGAAAGCUGGGAUCUUCGGACCUAGCGUUAAUGGAGCGGCCGAUAUCUGAUUAGCUAGUAGGUGAGGUAAAAGCUCACCUAGGCGACGAUCAGUAGCUGGUCUGAGAGGACGACCAGCCACACUGGAACUGAGACACGGUCCAGACUCCUACGGGAGGCAGCAGUGGGGAAUUUUGGACAAUGGGCGCAAGCCUGAUCCAGCCAUUCCGCGUGAGUGAAGAAGGCCUCGGGUUGUAAAGCUCUUUCGCAAGGGAAGAAAACUUAACCUCUAACAUAGGUUGAGGCUGACGGUACCUUGAUAAGAAGCACCGGCUAACUACGUGCCAGCAGCCGCGGUAAUACGUAGGGUGCGAGCGUUAAUCGGAAUUACUGGGCGUAAAGCGUGCGCAGGCGGCCUGAUAAGUC